RNAcentral lists this ribosomal RNA (254 nucleotides) under uncultured bacterium. Its description in RNAcentral is "partial 16S ribosomal RNA". It matches the Rfam family "Bacterial small subunit ribosomal RNA", at positions 524 to 776 of the family's 1533-position model. The record is from RNAcentral.
CACGUAGGGGGCGAGCGUUGUCCGGAAUCAUUGGGCGUAAAGAGCUCGUAGGCGGCUCAGUAAGUCGGGUGUGAAACCCUCAGGCUCAACCUGGGGACGCCACCCGAUACUGCUGUGGCUAGAGUCCAGUAGGGGAGUGUGGAAUUCCCGGUGUAGCGGUGAAAUGCGCAGAUAUCGGGAGGAACACCAGCGACGAAGGCGGCACUCUGGGCUGGAACUGACGCUGAGGAGCGAAAGCGUGGGUAGCAAACAGG